AUUGAACGCUGGCGGCAUGCUUUACACAUGCAAGUCGAACGGCAGCGCGGGCUUCGGCCUGGCGGCGAGUGGCGAACGGGUGAGUAAUGCAUCGGAACGUGCCCAGUAGUGGGGGAUAGCCCGGCGAAAGCCGGAUUAAUACCGCAUACGACCUGAGGGUGAAAGCGGGGGACCGAAAGGCCUCGCGCUAUUUGAUCGGCCGAUGUCGGAUUAGCUAGUUGGUGGGGUAAAGGCUUACCAAGGCGACGAUCCGUAGCUGGUCUGAGAGGACGACCAGCCACACUGGGACUGAGACACGGCCCAGACUCCUACGGGAGGCAGCAGUGGGGAAUUUUGGACAAUGGGGGCAACCCUGAUCCAGCCAUGCCGCGUGCGGGAAGAAGGCCUUCGGGUUGUAAACCGCUUUUGUUCGGGAAGAAAUACUCUGGGCUAAUACCCCGGGGGGAUGACGGUACCGGAAGAAUAAGCACCGGCUAACUACGUG
Molecule: ribosomal RNA, 484 nt
Filed under: uncultured bacterium
Lineage: Bacteria
Description: partial 16S ribosomal RNA
Rfam family: Bacterial small subunit ribosomal RNA
Source: RNAcentral